GGACUACCCGGGUAUCUAAUCCCGUUUGCUCCCCUGGCUUUCGCGCCUCAGCGUCAGAAGAGGUCCAGCAGAGCGCUUUCGCCACCGGCGUUCCUUCCGAUAUCAACACAUUUCACCGCUCCACCGGAAGUUCCCUCUGCCCCUACCUCGCUCGAGCUGACUAGUAUCGGAGGCAAUUGUCCGGUUAAGCCGAACGAUUUCACCACCGACUAUGUCAGCCGCCUACGCGCCCUUUAAGCCCAGUGAUUCCGAACAACGUUCGCACGGUUCGUCUUACCGCGGCGGCUGGCAC
Molecule: ribosomal RNA, 292 nt
Filed under: uncultured Planctomycetota bacterium
Lineage: Bacteria; Pseudomonadati; Planctomycetota
Description: uncultured planctomycete partial 16S ribosomal RNA
Source: RNAcentral